AUAUAAUAUAAUCUUAAUUUUUAAAGUGCCCUUCACUUUUCCUUUCCCACCCCUUUACAGCACAAGCUACCCUUCUACCCAUUCCAUCCCCCUUUCUCCUUAGGUAUAGCACAUUAACUACUCACCCCCUCCCUGGCAUGUCCUGCCUCCAAUCGUUGUCACAUUGUUGAUUACCGAUCGACUACUUUCGGUCUCCGUCCGUCAUCACAUUUACUCUCCUUCUCCCUAAGAACAAGAUCAUCAGUCUUCAUCUCUUGAAGCCUCUAUCCCUUGUCGGGAUUGUCGCCAUCUCUGGCACAGUCCCACCAACGCCCAAAAUCUCUUGCUGAUGCUUAGGUAUGGAUGAAUCUUCCUUUUGAUGCUCUGUGAUUAGGUGGAAAGGGGCUAGGGUUUGUGUGUGAAUCUUCAUCUGCUA
This 415-nucleotide long non-coding RNA is filed under the name Elaeis guineensis (African oil palm). Its description in RNAcentral is "long non-coding RNA (EGUI_LNC006574)". Lineage: Eukaryota; Viridiplantae; Streptophyta; Magnoliopsida; Arecales; Arecaceae. The record is from RNAcentral.